UACAGAGGUCUCAAGCGUUGUUCGGAUUCAUUGGGCGUAAAGGGUGUGUAGGCGGUUAUUUAAGUUUGGUGUGAAAUCUCCCGGCUCAACCGGGAGGGUGCGCCGAAUACUGAAUGACUUGGAGUGCGGGAGAGGAAAGUGGAAUUCCUGGUGUAGCGGUGAAAUGCGUAGAUAUCAGGAGGAACACCGGUGGUGUAGACGGCUUUCUGGACCGUAACUGACGCUGAGACACGAAAGCGUGGGUAGCAAACGGG
RNAcentral lists this ribosomal RNA (254 nucleotides) under uncultured bacterium. Its description in RNAcentral is "partial 16S ribosomal RNA". It matches the Rfam family "Bacterial small subunit ribosomal RNA", at positions 524 to 776 of the family's 1533-position model. The record is from RNAcentral.